AUGCGUAUUGUUAUUGGUGAAAUUGCUAUUUUCACACUGGCUUAUUUUUUAAUUUGCAAAGAAGAACGUGCAACUGCAACUGCACAGACCUGCAAAGAGCACCGUGCUAACAAGGGCGCAGCGUGCAUAAAUGAAGGUUGUUGGGCAGACUGCGCCAGAGACUACCAUGGACAUUAUGUCAAGAAUGCUUAUUGUACCGGCGUUUACCCCUUCACAAAAGUCUAUUGUGUCUGCGACGUCUGUGAAGAGUAG
RNAcentral lists this ribosomal RNA (252 nucleotides) under Triticum aestivum (bread wheat). RNAcentral describes it as "partial small subunit ribosomal RNA". The record is from RNAcentral. Lineage: Eukaryota; Viridiplantae; Streptophyta; Magnoliopsida; Poales; Poaceae.